AACGAACGCUGGCGGCAUGCCUAACACAUGCAAGUCGAACGAGAACUCCGGGUUUUGUGGCGCUUGGGUGCGUAACGAGUGGGAAGUUGCACUUAGGUACGGAAUACUUCCCUGUAAGGGGUGCUAAUAUCGGAUAAUGUAUUCGGAUAAAAGAUUUAUCGCCCUUGGAUGGGCCCGCGUUGGAUUAGCCGGUUGGUAGGGUAAAAGCCUAUCACGGCGACGUUCCAUAGCUGGUCUGAGAGGAAGAUCAGCAACACUUGGGAUAAGACACGGCCCAGACUCCUACGCAAGGGAGCAGUGGGGAAUAUUGUACGAGGGACGAAAGCCUGAUCCAGCAAUGCCGGGUGAGUGAUGAAGGCCUUAGGGUUGUGAAGCUCUUUUACCCGAAGUGAUAAUGACGGUACCGGGAGAAUAAGCACCGGCUAACUCCGUG
This 433-nucleotide ribosomal RNA is filed under the name uncultured bacterium. Its description in RNAcentral is "partial 16S ribosomal RNA". It matches the Rfam family "Bacterial small subunit ribosomal RNA", at positions 29 to 507 of the family's 1533-position model. The record is from RNAcentral.